RNAcentral lists this ribosomal RNA (515 nucleotides) under uncultured bacterium. RNAcentral describes it as "partial 16S ribosomal RNA". It matches the Rfam family "Bacterial small subunit ribosomal RNA", at positions 28 to 523 of the family's 1533-position model. The record is from RNAcentral.
GAUGAACGCUGGCGGCGUGCCUAAUACAUGCAAGUCGAGCGAAUGGAUUAAGAGCUUGCUCUUAUGAAGUUAGCGGCGGACGGGUGAGUAACACGUGGGUAACCUGCCCAUAAGACUGGGAUAACUCCGGGAAACCGGGGCUAAUACCGGAUAACAUUUUGAACCGCAUGGUUCGAAAUUGAAAGGCGGCUUCGGCUGUCACUUAUGGAUGGACCCGCGUCGCAUUAGCUAGUUGGUGAGGUAACGGCUCACCAAGGCAACGAUGCGUAGCCGCCCUGGGAGGGUGAUCGGCCACACUGGGACUGAGACACGGCCCAGACUCCUACGGGAGGCAGCAGUAGGGAAUCUUCCGCAAUGGACGAAAGUCUGACGGAGCAACGACGCGUGAGUGAUGAAGGCUUUCGGGGCGUAAAACUCUGUUGUUAGGGAAGAACAAGUGCUAGUUGAAUAAGCUGGCACCUUGACGGUACCUAACCAGAAAGCCACGGCUAACUACGUGCCAGCCGCCGCGGUAA